GACGAACGCUGGCGGCGUGGAUUAGGCAUGCAAGUCGAACGGUAUCAUCCUUUCGGGGGUGAGAGAGUGGCGAACUGGUGAGUAACACGUAGGUUAUCUACCCUCAAGACGGGGACAACCCAGGGAAACUUGGGCUAAUACCGGAUGUGAGCAACUUUUAGUUGUUUGAAAGGUGGCGUAAGCUGUCGCUUGGGGAUGAGCCUGCGUCCUAUUAGUUAGUUGGUGAGGUAACGGCUCACCUAGGCAAUGAUAGGUAGGCGGCCUUAACGGGUGGUCGCCUACACUGGGAUUGAGAUACGGCCCAGACUCCUACGGGAGGCAGCAGUCGAGAAUAGUCUACAAUGGUCGGAAGACUGAUAGUGCGACGCCGCGUGAACGAUGAAUCCCUUCGGGGUGUAAAGUUCUUUUAUAUGUGAGCAGUGCUUCUUAUAUUAACAGUAUGGGGAGAGAGAUAUUAGCAUAUGAAUAAGCAACGGCUAACUCCGUGCCAGCAGCCGACGGUAAACUCG
RNAcentral lists this ribosomal RNA (509 nucleotides) under uncultured bacterium. RNAcentral's name for it is "bacterial SSU rRNA". It matches the Rfam family "Bacterial small subunit ribosomal RNA", at positions 28 to 527 of the family's 1533-position model. The record is from RNAcentral.